Molecule: ribosomal RNA, 482 nt
Filed under: uncultured bacterium
Lineage: Bacteria
Description: partial 16S ribosomal RNA
Rfam family: Bacterial small subunit ribosomal RNA
Source: RNAcentral
AUUGAACGCUGGCGGCAUGCUUUACACAUGCAAGUCGAACGGUAACAGGCCGCAAGGUGCUGACGAGUGGCGAACGGGUGAGUAAUGCAUCGGAACGUGCCCAGUCGUGGGGGAUAACUACUCGAAAGAGUAGCUAAUACCGCAUACGAUCUAUGGAUGAAAGGGGGGGACCGUAAGGCCUCGCGCGAUUGGAGCGGCCGAUGUCAGAUUAGGUAGUUGGUGGGGUAAAGGCUCACCAAGCCAACGAUCUGUAGCUGGUCUGAGAGGACGACCAGCCACACUGGGACUGAGACACGGCCCAGACUCCUACGGGAGGCAGCAGUGGGGAAUUUUGGACAAUGGGCGCAAGCCUGAUCCAGCAAUGCCGCGUGCAGGAAGAAGGCCUUCGGGUUGUAAACUGCUUUUGUACGGAACGAAACGGCUCUGGUUAAUACCCGGGGCUAAUGACGGUACCGUAAGAAUAAGCACCGGCUAACUACGUG